UGGAAGAAAAAUAAGCACUCACCAAUCUACAAACGUGUAUAGCGGCACUGACACCGGAGAUAUCAGCUCGUUAAAAAGGCCAGAGACUGGUUGGAGAGGUCCAUGUAGAUGCCUCCCAGCUGAUUGGCACCAACACUAAGGACGCCACCAGGAAUGACACCCGGGCUGGUAACUGUGACCAUUCACUCCAAUGAAGGUUCCUGACGUCACACUCCCAGAGCAAGAACACCUGGUCACCCAGAGCAGCAACAGCCUUCCUCAUUUGCCUAGUAUUGUCUGCUUCAAGUGAACGUAGAAUGUGUUGAGCUCGUCUGGGAGGCUUAUUAAGUGAAUAACAUCAGUUCUUGCUUCACAAAACCUAUACAGUGAUAACAUUUGGCAAAUAUGCAUAUUUUUUUAGAUUUCUUUCAACCUAUUAAAUGUUCCCAAAUGCCCAAUGGUA
Long non-coding RNA from Esox lucius (northern pike), 442 nucleotides. RefSeq lists it as uncharacterized. The record is from RefSeq and is a predicted model, not a curated record. The transcript has 2 exons. Lineage: Eukaryota; Metazoa; Chordata; Actinopteri; Esociformes; Esocidae.